GAUGAAGAACGUAGCGACAUGCGAUAAGUAAUGUGAAUUGCAGAAUUCAGUGAAUCAUCGAAUCUUUGAACGCACAUUGCGCCCCCUGGUAUUCCGGGGGGCAUGCCUGUUCGAGCGUCAUUUCACCACUCAAGCCUCGCUUGGUAUUGGGCAACGCGGUCCGCCGCGUGCCUCAAAUCGACCGGCUGGGUCUUCUGUCCCCUAAGCGUUGUGGAAACUUUCGCUAAAGGGUGUUCGGGAGGCUACGCCGUAAAACAACCCCAUUUCUAAGGUUGACCUCGGAUCAGGUAGGGAUACCCGCUGAACUUAAGCAUAUCAAUAAGCGGAGGA
RNAcentral lists this unclassified non-coding RNA (330 nucleotides) under soil metagenome. RNAcentral's name for it is "partial contains 5.8S ribosomal RNA, internal transcribed spacer 2, and large subunit ribosomal RNA". The stretch from base 1 to 120 matches the Rfam family "5.8S ribosomal RNA", at positions 35 to 154 of the family's 154-position model. The record is from RNAcentral.